Molecule: ribosomal RNA, 253 nt
Filed under: uncultured bacterium
Lineage: Bacteria
Description: partial 16S ribosomal RNA
Rfam family: Bacterial small subunit ribosomal RNA
Source: RNAcentral
UACGUAGGGCGCAAGCGUUGUCCGGAAUUAUUGGGCGUAAAGAGCUCGUAGGUGGUUUGUCGCGUUGUCCGUGAAAACUCACAGCUUAACUGUGGGCGUGCGGGCGAUACGGGCAGACUGGAGUACUGCAGGGGAGACUGGAAUUCCUGGUGUAGCGGUGGAAUGCGCAGAUAUCAGGAGGAACACCGGUGGCGAAGGCGGGUCUCUGGGCAGUAACUGACGCUGAGGAGCGAAAGCGUGGGGAGCGAACAGG